CAGUGAUAUUUGUUCAGACUAUCUGGUGGAAGUAUGAACAUGUGAAGCUACAAAGCAAAAGAAAUCUCAACUGUAAACCUCUCUUCGGAACACAUGAUCAUAGCCCUCAAUGUAGUAGAAAAAGCAAUGGGCAGAAUUUCUCGAUAUUGACUGCAGGGGCUCUUGCAGCGCUAUUUGUUCAGGCUAUCUAGUGGAAGUAUGAACAUAUGAAGCUACAAAGCAAAAGAAAUCUCAACAGUAAACCUCUCUUCGAAACACAUGUAGCCCUCAAUGUAGUAGAAAAAGCAAUGGACAUAAUUUCUCGAUACCGACUGCAGGGCAGGUGUCCUGAAUGUAGUAGGCCAGGGGAGAGCUACAUACAUCAAGGAUGAACUAUUACUGAUAAGAAUUCUGACCACCCAUGGAUUCCAUAGCACCUACAAUUUUGGAGUGCAGAAAACAAAAGUAUUAGUUAGAAACAAUGAAGUACAUAACAUAUUGCAAGUUUAAAAAUCAAGUAUAUCUUCCCAUGACCCCCCUUUCACCAGUCAUAUAAUGUGGAGUAUAAUGAAAAGGGAACUAAUCUUAUAUGUUCUUUAUUAACAUUAUUUACCUCUGCUUAUUUGUCAGUUAUGUUCUAAGAGUCGUCCACCUUAGGGUCUUGCUUCUUCAUCUUCCUCCACGUAUAUUUGGUGAUAAGAUCUAUCUUCUUCAGCUUGUUCUUUUUCAGGACCUUCCCCUUACCCCUUCUCAGAAUCAUCUCUUGUGGUAUCCCUGGAAUUAGUAUGCAACACUGAUAAAUUUAGGCUAAUGUAAAAAUAUAUGUGGUACUUAAGACCUUGUACAGAAAAAAGAAAGACAUAGUUUGUAGAACAUGCCAUGUAUAUUUUUAUGGUUCAAAAGAAGACACUCCGCUACCAUUAUCAUUUAUCAAUGUCUACAUCUUCUUUUCUCUCACAAACCCACAAGCAACAAAGUAAGCACACUAACACCAAAGAUAUUUAUGUAAAAAGAGUUAUUUAACAAAAAAUCCACUAUAAACCGAACCGAGCACAACCGAGUAAUUCAUAACAGCAGGUGAACAUCUAAAAUUUUAUCAAGAUAUCUCAAUGUGGUAGCCAAGGGGGCCUUUUCUGUCUUAAAAUUUCGUGAAGCAUGUUGAGCUUCCAAACACUAAUAAUCAGUAAACAAAGCCAUUUAGAUUUGUCGCUAAACAAGAAAACGUAGCAUGUGAUUCCCACCUACAGAAAGUUUAUGUACUUGGAAUUUCCAUCGCUAUCUCAUACAUUGUUAGCAUUGAAGGGAUCUAGAUGACAGAUAAUAAAAUCAGACUAAAAUCUAAUGGUAAAUAGUAAACUCUUACUUCCUAACAUUGGUAGCUCCAUGAUGCUACCGGUGGGUUCAAGCAUCCAGUGUUGUCACGGCAGUUUCUGAGCUCAACUUCCCGACACGAUCAAUGGCAAAGGAACAAGCAUCGAGUUGCCCACUGUUACAAUUUAUAUGGAAAAAUAUACGGAGAUGCAAGCCUGCCCAAGCAACCUUUUCCCAGAGUGUGUCCCUCUCCUGAGUUGAACAAUUAUUCACACCAUCUAAUUAUAAUGAAAAGAGGCCCCCGAUGUUUUAAUCAACGCGUUGCAGCUCGGACCUUCCCACUUUUAAUGGCAAUUUUAAGAUCCUCAGGAAUGGGGGGAGGUGUAACCUCAGGGACAGGAGGAAUUGUUCCUUCCUCAACCUGCAAAAAAUAUAUGUAACCCCAAGCUUUGAUUCCCACUAACACAUUCCCAAAAAAAACUUGCAAAAGACAUCAGCCGUGAUGUACCAACUUCUGAAAUGUCUCCUUAAUCCUUUCAAGAGUUUCCAAUGAAGUAGGAACAACAGCCCCAGCAUCUCUUAGUGCCUGAUUCUUAGCUUGUGCAGAUUCCACCUCACCACCAUCGCACACUGUUAUACCAAAAAAAACACAUCUACGCAUAUUUAUUCAGCUCACCGGAACUCCAGGAAAAUUUGUUUACAACUUACAGCAUGGCCAAACUGGACUCGGAUUUCAACAGACGUGCACACGUCCUACUAACCCAAGCAACAACAGGUUUCUGAACCUUUCCUUGUUUCAAGGAUUCGAGGAGCAAAUACUCAUCACUUCCUCCAAGCUCCCCAAGAACAACCAUCAUUUUAACCUCAAGCCAACAAAUGAGGUCAAACUAAAUUAUCUGGACUCGAUCAAACUAAAGUAUCUUAACAGGUCCGUGUAACUGAACUAAUUAAUCAAAAAGCAACCUAGUGGGCAUUACCUCAAACAGAUUGUGUGCACCGUAAUGCAGGAUCAACAGCAACCAAACAUGGGCCUGUCUGGCGGGGGAGGGGGGGGUGGGACUUCAGCUGAUGUGUGGCCUUGACCACCUUCUUCCUCCUCUCCGGCGCCUGGAUCUCCCCUCUCAUUUACCUCACGGCUGUUGCAAUACACCGCAUGACUACUUGAUGAUCGUACCAUGUGUGCUUGACAAUUUGUCGAUCCUGAGGAAGGAAAAAAAGCAUAAUUAACAGUACGUCCUGAAAUGCACAAGAAAAUACUUACUCAAGCAAGGUAAAAGCCCGGUGUAAGUAACAACACAGUGAACAAAUCAGAUAUGCUUGCAUGUAUCUCAGUAUCAGGAUCAUUCUCAAGCGAUCUAGAUUUAUUUAACUUCCAGAUGAAAACUCAAAGAUGUCACACAUUAGAUUUACUGACCUACAAUGUAGCUAAGAAUCUGAAGACUCCAAUUAGCAACUUGACAAGCAAUUAGAUAAAGAUAAUACUGAAGCUGCUCAAACAAAAAUGUCAGGCAGUGAACAAAUCGUUGUUAAACCAAUCACUGCUGCAGUAUGGGGUCAGCGCAGUGACGCAUGUCUCGUGCCUGCUCACUG
This 2880-nucleotide long non-coding RNA is filed under the name Triticum aestivum (bread wheat). RNAcentral's name for it is "long non-coding RNA (TAES_LNC003476)". The record is from RNAcentral. Lineage: Eukaryota; Viridiplantae; Streptophyta; Magnoliopsida; Poales; Poaceae.